AGACGCUGGCGGCAUGCCUACACAUGCAAGUCGAACGAUCCCUUCGGGGAUAGUGGCGCACGGGUGCGUAACGCGUGGGAACCUGCCUUUAGGUUCGGAAUAACUCAGAGAAAUUUGAGCUAAUACCGGAUAAUGUCUUCGGACCAAAGAUUUAUCGCCUUUAGAUGGGCCCGCGUUAGAUUAGAUAGUUGGUGGGGUAACGGCCUACCAAGUCGACGAUCUAUAGCUGGUCUGAGAGGAUGAUCAGCCACACUGGGACUGAGACACGGCCCAGACUCCUACGGGAGGCAGCAGUGGGGAAUAUUGGGCAAUGGGCGCAAGCCUGACCCAGCCAUGCCGCGUGUGUGAAGAAGGCUUUCGGGUUGUAAAGCACUUUAAGUUGGGAGGAAAGGUGCAAUGGCUAAUAUCCAUUGUAAUUGACGUUACCAACAGAAUAAGCACCGGCUAAUUCCGUGCCAGCAGCCGCGGUA
RNAcentral lists this ribosomal RNA (470 nucleotides) under uncultured Alphaproteobacteria bacterium. Its description in RNAcentral is "bacterial SSU rRNA". It matches the Rfam family "Bacterial small subunit ribosomal RNA", at positions 32 to 522 of the family's 1533-position model. The record is from RNAcentral. Lineage: Bacteria; Pseudomonadati; Pseudomonadota; Alphaproteobacteria.